Molecule: ribosomal RNA, 253 nt
Filed under: uncultured bacterium
Lineage: Bacteria
Description: partial 16S ribosomal RNA
Rfam family: Bacterial small subunit ribosomal RNA
Source: RNAcentral
UACGUAGGGGCCAAGCGUUGUUCGGAUUUACUGGGCGUAAAGGGCGCGUAGGCGGCGUGUUAAGUCAGCUGUGAAAUCUCCAAGCUUAACUUGGAACGGUCAGCUGAUACUGAUGUGCUAGAGUGCAGAAGGGGCAAUCGGAAUUCUUGGUGUAGCGGUGAAAUGCGUAGAUAUCAAGAGGAACACCUGAGGUGAAGGCGGGUUGCUGGGCUGACACUGACGCUGAGGCGCGAAAGCUAGGGUAGCAAACGGG